RNAcentral lists this ribosomal RNA (274 nucleotides) under uncultured bacterium. RNAcentral's name for it is "partial 16S ribosomal RNA". It matches the Rfam family "Bacterial small subunit ribosomal RNA", at positions 523 to 796 of the family's 1533-position model. The record is from RNAcentral.
CUACGGAGGGUGCAAGCGUUACUCGGAAUCACUGGGCGUAAAGGAUGCGUAGGCUGGAUGUCAAGUUGGAAGUGAAAUCCUAUGGCUUAACCAUAGAACUGCUUCCAAAACUGGCAACCUAGAGUGAGGGAGAGGCAGAUGGAAUUAGUGGUGUAGGGGUAAAAUCCGUAGAUAUCACUAGGAAUACCGAUUGCGAAGGCGAUCUGCUAGAACUCUACUGACGCUAAGGCAUGAAAGCGUGGGGAGCAAACAGGAUUAGAUACCCCAGUAGUCC